Molecule: long non-coding RNA, 261 nt
Filed under: Lathyrus oleraceus (garden pea)
Lineage: Eukaryota; Viridiplantae; Streptophyta; Magnoliopsida; Fabales; Fabaceae
Description: Pisum sativum (pea) long non-coding RNA (PSAT_LNC017460)
Source: RNAcentral
UUUUUAGACUAAAAAACAUGAAAAAUCAAUAAUAUAAUAAUGAUUAAAAAAAAAUAAUAAAAAAAUAAAAAGGUUCAAUUUUUAAUUAUAAAAUAAUGUAAAUGAAGGUAAAAACAUAAAAAAGAGAAAAGACUCUAAAAAGUGGGAAAAUCAGAAAUCAAACUCAAGACCUCUCCUUUAUAGCUCCUUAAACACACUCUUCUACCAAUUGUGCUAUUUCAUUUAUUCAAGAUAAAGUGACACUAGAAAGCAUAUGAAGGA